RNAcentral lists this non-coding RNA (263 nucleotides) under Streptomyces cinereoruber. Its description in RNAcentral is "sRNA 4677". It matches the Rfam family "Streptomyces sRNA 4677". Rfam says of the family: Located in the intergenic region between anti-sigma factor SCO4677 gene and a putative regulatory protein gene SCO4676. scr4677 expression requires the SCO4677 activity and scr4677 sRNA itself seem to affect the levels of the SCO4676-associated transcripts. Lineage: Bacteria; Bacillati; Actinomycetota; Actinomycetes; Kitasatosporales; Streptomycetaceae. The record is from RNAcentral.
CGACCCGGCCGUGCGCGACGUCCUGUAAGUACCGGGAGAAAGUACCAACCCCACCCCACCUGCUCUGAGGGAUCACACCUGGGGGGCGCCGAGCGGCGCGUCACCCGUACGAGCUAACUUGCCCAACUUCGUUGCAUAACGGGGAGGUUGUCUGGCAUAUGCUCGCGGCUACCGAACUGAAAAUAGGUCGGCCCCCACCGGGAGCUCUCACCCUCCCUGCAGGGGCCUGGCCAUGAGGAAGCCUUAGAGAGAGUCCCUUCCCC